This 1293-nucleotide ribosomal RNA is filed under the name Bacillus halotolerans. Its description in RNAcentral is "bacterial SSU rRNA". It matches the Rfam family "Bacterial small subunit ribosomal RNA", at positions 1 to 1276 of the family's 1533-position model. The record is from RNAcentral. Lineage: Bacteria; Bacillati; Bacillota; Bacilli; Caryophanales; Bacillaceae.
UUUAUCGGAGAGUUUGAUCCUGGCUCAGGACGAACGCUGGCGGCGUGCCUAAUACAUGCAAGUCGAGCGGACAGAUGGGAGCUUGCUCCCUGAUGUUAGCGGCGGACGGGUGAGUAACACGUGGGUAACCUGCCUGUAAGACUGGGAUAACUCCGGGAAACCGGGGCUAAUACCGGAUGCUUGUUUGAACCGCAUGGUUCAAACAUAAAAGGUGGCUUCGGCUACCACUUACAGAUGGACCCGCGGCGCAUUAGCUAGUUGGUGAGGUAAUGGCUCACCAAGGCAACGAUGCGUAGCCGACCUGAGAGGGUGAUCGGCCACACUGGGACUGAGACACGGCCCAGACUCCUACGGGAGGCAGCAGUAGGGAAUCUUCCGCAAUGGACGAAAGUCUGACGGAGCAACGCCGCGUGAGUGAUGAAGGUUUUCGGAUCGUAAAGCUCUGUUGUUAGGGAAGAACAAGUACCGUUCGAAUAGGGCGGUACCUUGACGGUACCUAACCAGAAAGCCACGGCUAACUACGUGCCAGCAGCCGCGGUAAUACGUAGGUGGCAAGCGUUGUCCGGAAUUAUUGGGCGUAAAGGGCUCGCAGGCGGUUCCUUAAGUCUGAUGUGAAAGCCCCCGGCUCAACCGGGGAGGGUCAUUGGAAACUGGGGAACUUGAGUGCAGAAGAGGAGAGUGGAAUUCCACGUGUAGCGGUGAAAUGCGUAGAGAUGUGGAGGAACACCAGUGGCGAAGGCGACUCUCUGGUCUGUAACUGACGCUGAGGAGCGAAAGCGUGGGGAGCGAACAGGAUUAGAUACCCUGGUAGUCCACGCCGUAAACGAUGAGUGCUAAGUGUUAGGGGGUUUCCGCCCCUUAGUGCUGCAGCUAACGCAUUAAGCACUCCGCCUGGGGAGUACGGUCGCAAGACUGAAACUCAAAGGAAUUGACGGGGGCCCGCACAAGCGGUGGAGCAUGUGGUUUAAUUCGAAGCAACGCGAAGAACCUUACCAGGUCUUGACAUCCUCUGACAAUCCUAGAGAUAGGACGUCCCCUUCGGGGGCAGAGUGACAGGUGGUGCAUGGUUGUCGUCAGCUCGUGUCGUGAGAUGUUGGGUUAAGUCCCGCAACGAGCGCAACCCUUGAUCUUAGUUGCCAGCAUUCAGUUGGGCACUCUAAGGUGACUGCCGGUGACAAACCGGAGGAAGGUGGGGAUGACGUCAAAUCAUCAUGCCCCUUAUGACCUGGGCUACACACGUGCUACAAUGGACAGAACAAAGGGCAGCGAAACCGCGAGGUUAAGCCAAUCCCA